Molecule: ribosomal RNA, 459 nt
Filed under: uncultured bacterium
Lineage: Bacteria
Description: partial 16S ribosomal RNA
Rfam family: Bacterial small subunit ribosomal RNA
Source: RNAcentral
CCUACGGGAGGCAGCAGUGAGGAAUAUUGGUCAAUGGGCGGGAGCCUGAACCAGCCAAGCCGCGUGCGGGAAGAAGGUACAGCUUAUCGUACCCCUCUUUUGUCAGGGAACACAGGCGGGGACUCGUCCCCGGAUGAGGGUACCUUAAGAAAAAGCAUCGGCUAACUCCGUGCCAGCAGCCGCGGUAAUACGGAGGAUGCGAGCGUUCUCCGGAUUUAUUGGGUUUAAAGGGUGCGCAGGCGGCCUGUUAAUUCAGCGGUAAAAGCCCGGGGCUCAACCCCGGCGAGACGUUGAAACUGGCGGGCUGGAGUUGGAGAGAAGUACGCGGAAUGCGCGGUGUAGCGGUGAAAUGCUGAGAUAUCGCGCAGAACCCCGAUGGCGAAGGCAGCGUACCGGCUCCAAACUGACGCUGAGGCACGAAAGCGUGGGUAUCGAACAGGAUUAGAUACACUAGUAGUC